UACGGAAGGCAGCAGUGGGGAAUAUUGCACAAUGGGCGAAAGCCUGAUGCAGCUAUGCCGCGUGUAUGAAGAAGGCCUUAGGGUUGUAAAGUACUUUCAUCGGGGAGGAAAAACAAAACUAAUAAUUUUAUUUCUUGACGUUACCCGAAAAAGAAGCACCGGCUAACUCCGUGCCAGCAGCCGCGGUAAUACGGAGGGUGCUAGCGUUAAUCAGAAUUACUGGGCGUAAAGAGCACGUAGGUGGUUUUUUUAAGUCAGAUGUGAAAUCCCUGGGCUUAACCUAGGAACUGCAUUUUGAAACUGAAAUACUAGAGUAUCGUAGGGGGAGGUAGAAUUCUAGGUGUAGCGGUGAAAUGCGUAGAUAUCUGGAGGAAUACCUGUGGCGAAAGCGGCCUCCUAAACGAAUACUGACACUGAGGUGCGAAAGCGUGGGGAGCAAACAGGGAUUAGAUACCCGU
RNAcentral lists this ribosomal RNA (458 nucleotides) under uncultured bacterium. RNAcentral describes it as "bacterial SSU rRNA". It matches the Rfam family "Bacterial small subunit ribosomal RNA", at positions 340 to 789 of the family's 1533-position model. The record is from RNAcentral.